GGACGUUUAGCUCAGCAGGUUAGAGCAGGGAACUCAUAAUUCUCAGGUCGACGGUUCAAAUCCGUCAUCGUCCACCA
Molecule: transfer RNA, 77 nt
Filed under: Thomasclavelia ramosa
Lineage: Bacteria; Bacillati; Bacillota; Erysipelotrichia; Erysipelotrichales; Coprobacillaceae
Also listed under: 4 other names
Description: Erysipelatoclostridium ramosum tRNA-Met
Rfam family: tRNA
About the family: Transfer RNA (tRNA) molecules are approximately 80 nucleotides in length. Their secondary structure includes four short double-helical elements and three loops (D, anti-codon, and T loops). Further hydrogen bonds mediate the characteristic L-shaped molecular structure. tRNAs have two regions of fundamental functional importance: the anti-codon, which is responsible for specific mRNA codon recognition, and the 3' end, to which the tRNAs corresponding amino acid is attached (by aminoacyl-tRNA synthetases). tRNAs cope with the degeneracy of the genetic code in two manners: having more than one tRNA (with a specific anti-codon) for a particular amino acid; and 'wobble' base-pairing, i.e. permitting non-standard base-pairing at the 3rd anti-codon position.
Source: RNAcentral